Small nucleolar RNA from Ictalurus punctatus (channel catfish), 138 nucleotides. NCBI's taxonomy places the organism in Eukaryota, Metazoa, Chordata, Actinopteri, Siluriformes, Ictaluridae. The record is from Ensembl.
UGUGCCCUGAAUCAAGGCCGACAGCUUGAUGUAGCUGUUGGUUUCAAACAGCGGCCAAAAUCUAAAUCUUCAGAUGGUCUGUUGAUUUUCCCAGACUUUGUAAAAUGGGAAAAAUCAGUUCAGUUGGAAGAGACAUUU